UACGGGGGGGGCAAGCGUUGUUCGGAAUUACUGGGCGUAAAGGGCUCGUAGGCGGCCAACUAAGUCAGACGUGAAAUCCCCAGGCUUAACCUGGGAACUGCGUCCGAUACUGGCAGGCUUGAAUUCGGGAGAGGGAUGCGGAAUUCCAGGUGUAGCGGUGAAAUGCGUAGAUAUCUGGAGGAACACCGGUGGCGAAGGCGGCAUCCUGGACCGAGAUUGACGCUGAGGCGCGAAAGCCAGGGGAGCAAACGGG
Molecule: ribosomal RNA, 253 nt
Filed under: uncultured bacterium
Lineage: Bacteria
Description: partial 16S ribosomal RNA
Rfam family: Bacterial small subunit ribosomal RNA
Source: RNAcentral